RNAcentral lists this ribosomal RNA (477 nucleotides) under uncultured bacterium. Its description in RNAcentral is "bacterial SSU rRNA". It matches the Rfam family "Bacterial small subunit ribosomal RNA", at positions 28 to 507 of the family's 1533-position model. The record is from RNAcentral.
GACGAACGCUGGCGGCGUGCCUAACACAUGCAAGUCAACGGGGGGAACAUGAAGUAUUUCGGUACGGAAUGCGCCCCUAGUGGCGAACGGGUGAGUAACACGUGGGCAACCUGCCCCAGACUGGGGGAUAACAUUGUGAAAACAGUGCUAAUACCGCAUGACAGGGUUCCGGGCAUCCGGGACCCUUGAAAGGAGAAAUCCGGUCAGGGAUGGGCCCGCGUCCAAUUAGCUAGUUGGCGGGGUAACGGCCCACCAAGGCGACGAUUGGUAGCCGAACUGAGAGGUUGAUCGGCCACAUUGGGACUGAGACACGGCCCAGACUCCUACGGGAGGCAGCAGUGGGGAAUAUUGGGCAAUGGGCGAAAGCCUGACCCAGCGACGCCGCGUGAAGGAUGAAGGUCUUCGGAUUGUAAACUUCUUUGAUCAGGGAAGAAAGAAAUGACGGUACCUGAAAAACAAGCCACGGCUAACUACGUG